UACGGGGGGGGCAAGCGAUGUUCGGAAUUACUGGGCGUAAAGGGCGCGUAGGCGGCUUUUCAAGUCGGGCGUGAAAUCUCCGGGCUUAACCCGGAAGGGUCGUUCGAUACUGUUGAGCUAGAGUGUGGAAGAGGCAACUAGAAUUCCGUGUGUAGCGGUGAAAUGCGUAGAUAUACGGAGGAAUACCUGAGGCGAAGGCGGGUUGCUGGGCCAACACUGACGCUGAGGCGCGAAAGCCAGGGGAGCAAACGGG
RNAcentral lists this ribosomal RNA (253 nucleotides) under uncultured bacterium. RNAcentral describes it as "partial 16S ribosomal RNA". It matches the Rfam family "Bacterial small subunit ribosomal RNA", at positions 524 to 776 of the family's 1533-position model. The record is from RNAcentral.